UGGGGAAUUUUCCGCAAUGGGCGAAAGCCUGACGGAGUGACGCCGCGUGUGGGACGAAGGCCUUCGGGUCGUAAACCACUGUCAGUGGGAAAGAUGGGUGUCGGCGUGAUAACCGCCGGCAUUUGACGGUACCUGCAGAGGAAGCCCCGGCUAACUCUGUGCCAGCAGCCGCGGUAAGACAGAGGGGGCAAGCGUUGCUCGGAAUUACUGGGCGUAAAGGGCGCGUAGGCGGGAUGGCAAGUCGGUCGUGAAAUCCCUCGGCUCAACUGAGGAUCGUCGAUCGAUACUGCCGUUCUUGAGGAUUGCAGAGGAGACUGGAAUUCCCGGUGUAGCGGUGAAAUGUGUAGAGAUCGGGAGGAACACCGGUGGCGAAGGCGGGUCUCUGGGCAAUUCCUGACGCUGAGGCGCGAAAGCGUGGGGAGCAAACGG
RNAcentral lists this ribosomal RNA (429 nucleotides) under uncultured bacterium. RNAcentral describes it as "bacterial SSU rRNA". It matches the Rfam family "Bacterial small subunit ribosomal RNA", at positions 355 to 775 of the family's 1533-position model. The record is from RNAcentral.